CUCUCUGCCGUCUCCUCCCAAGAGGAACACUGUCAGUUCUUCAGCUCUAUUUGACGUGUUGCCUCUGACAAGUGUUGUUUGAAUGAUGGGUGUUCUUGGGAAACCUUGUCUUUAAAGAAGCUGUUUUUAUGCUCCAGCAGCCAUCACUUAAGUAGUUGACUUUUAAGCCUCUGUGGUAAAAACAAAUGGACUGCAUUACAUUUAUUGAAAAGUAUUGUCUUCAAAUAAACUUUGUCUAACCAUUUUAAUGUUUGCUCCAGAGCUGGCCAAUGAAUAUGAAUUUAGUAUUCUCUUUAUUAAAAUUUUAAGUGCAUUAAUAAUAAUAUGUGAAACUCUCCUCUAAGUAAAACACGUUUGAGUUGUCGUGAUAGCAUUUUUACUGGUCUCUCUUGGACGAUGCAUGACAUCUACUUCAUUUAAUUCUUUUCCACAGAUCUUUAAGCUCUCCAUUCUCCACUCGUGUCACGAGCUGGCUCUGUUUGCCAUCUACAGCCCUGUAUCUCUAAGCUCCAUCUGAGCUGCACAGAUUGAGGUCUAAUGGGAAUCAACCCGAGCUCGGCUCUCCUACUCCCAGCCUGCUGAUCCCGAAAUGUCCUGCCUGGAGGAGUAGUGGCUGAGUGACAGCUCUUUGCAAAUGCCACCUGGCGGCAGCAACUUGUCGGGUGCUGUUAUUUGGAGGGGGGGAUUCCGUAGCAUCGCCUCCCCUAUUUGAGUGAGCCCCUCCUUCUUGCUGAGAUUUUGGGUCCCAUUUUGUUUGGCAUCCUUGUUUUAUGCCUGCCUUCCUCUUAUCUCUCCUCCUGUCCUCCAGCCUCAAGAUCAGCUUUCAGACAUGACUUGAAAAUGGAGGUGAUGAACCAGAGAAGACAGGUAAUCAGCACCACCUCGGCCGUACACCUGUUGCCAAUCAGCACUCUACUCUGCCUGCAUUUAAGCCUGCCAGAUCCAAGACUCCACUGCCAGAGUAUUAACAUUCUCUCGUGUGCUCCUUCUGUGUUUCCCGCUGUAUUGACCUCUUCCACCAAGCCAUCCACCUGCUCACGCCACCGCCUGCUGCACGAGCAGGUGCACGACAACCCACCACUAUGCCUCAAGGAUCCAUCUCCAUAUCCUCGUCAAUAAACCUUUCACCACAAACCUCUCAGCCUCCACUUGGUUCUGGGCCCAGUGAAAAUCGAAUUGUGACACAUUGUCCCUAUCCUUGCGCUGUAGGUUUUGAUAAUUUUAUCUGUGAUGCAUUUUAAUUUUUUCAGUAAACGUGAAAUAUGAAUUGAGAGUUAGUCAACUUCAAGUGUUAAACGUUGAUUCGUAGUAGUAAAUUCAACUCGUUUAUUAGUUGGCGAAUCAAUUCAACCCCUGGGGCCAGGGGCCCAAUGGCCAACCCCCACGUGUGUUGUGAAAAAUCAUGAAAUAAUUUUCAGCUCAAAGUUAUUUUCCCCUGUUGAUGAUUAGUUUUCAAGGGGAAGAAAAGUUUAAUCAGCAACACCCCGAACGCCGGUGAUGAUGUAAUUUCGUGGCCACCCCACAAAAUUGCCUAAAAUUGUCUGACCACCCCACUGAAAAAUUCCUGGCUGCGCCACUGGUAAAAACAUUGCUUUUUAAUGUGUACACAUUAACAAUAUCAUGCUCUUAAUUAGUAAUGGUUGUACAUUUGUGUUAAAAUGUUUUUGCAGUGACUCAAGUGUUAUAUGUAGUAUUUAACAACACAUUGUGGAUACACACAAACAUAGUGGCAUGCUUAAAGCUCACUCACCUCAAAUAAGACUGACGAGCAGAAAAUCAUCAUCACCCACAA
Molecule: long non-coding RNA, 1792 nt
Organism: Phyllopteryx taeniolatus (common seadragon)
Lineage: Eukaryota; Metazoa; Chordata; Actinopteri; Syngnathiformes; Syngnathidae
Exons: 3
Source: RefSeq, a predicted model, not a curated record